CAAUCCUCGUUGAUUUUCAACCCUAUCUUUUCUUUUGGUUCUCUCCAUCUCCAAGUUUCGGUUAUGGCAUCGAAACCCAUCGUCAACGAGCUCAAGGAUUUGCAGAAGGAUCCUCCUACGCGCUGCAGUGCAGGUUCUUUUGUCUAUUUGCUCACUGUUGACGGAUCCCAACCCUGAUGACUUGCUUAUGCCUGAAAUUGCACACACAUGUACAAGACUGACAGGGUUAAGUAUGAAGCCCACUGCUCCCAGUUGGACACAGAAAUAUGCUAUGGAUGAUAAUUCUCCUCCUGUAGCAGCUCAAUCAUGUUCUGAGGAAACAAAAGAUGCUUUUCAUGAAAUAUUGUCUUUACUUGUCAGUGAAACUGAACCAUGAAACAUGCCUGCUGGAAACCACUCGGUAUGCUGCUGCACGACAGAGACACGUUCAAGGUGAGGUCACCACAAGUAGCUUCGAUUGAAGUCAAUGGUAAAUAAUAUAAUAUCAGAACAGUGGCUGAUUAAAGCAGCGAGGGGACUAAUCCGAAGAGUCAUGUCUUAAUUAACAAGCAAAAGUAAAGGAGGGGUGAUUCAUCUGUAAAUGCAAUGCAUCUUGUGGCCUCAGCGUAGAUAAUGUGAACGUCCUCGACUAACUAGCAUGCUUACUUGUCUUUGCUUCCUUUUCAAGCCAAAACCUAACAUAAUUAAACUUUUUGAGGAAAUUCCUCCUCCCUACAAUACUUGGACCCUUCUUAUAAUGUUAACGUUUUCUUUCUAUUGUUUAAUUCAUUCAUAGCUAUUGUUCAUCCGCCUCUUUCCUCACGAGGAUGUUGAUUUAUCUAUUGGGAAUGUCUCUUGGCAAAUUUAUAAUCUCUUAUGGCAAUUUCCCCUAUUCGUUUACCAUUUUUCGUAUGAUUUGAGCGCUAGACAAGUGGUUCAAGCCAAUUUGAAUAAAGAGUGUGGGUUCAAGUCAUAGGAUCAAAG
This is a non-coding RNA of Vigna umbellata (rice bean), 963 nucleotides long. NCBI's taxonomy places the organism in Eukaryota, Viridiplantae, Streptophyta, Magnoliopsida, Fabales, Fabaceae. The record is from RefSeq and is a predicted model, not a curated record.